UGGGGAAUAUUGGACAAUGGGCGCAAGCCUGAUCCAGCCAUGCCGCGUGAGUGACGAAGGCCUUAGGGUUGUAAAGCUCUUUCGGCGGGGAAGAUAAUGACGGUACCCGCAGAAGAAGCCCCGGCUAACUCUGUGCCAGCAGCCGCGGUAAUACAGAGGGGGCAAGCGUUGUUCGGAAUCACUGGGCGUAAAGCGCACGUAGGUGGAUAGUUAAGUUCGGGGUGAAAUCCCAGGGCUCAACCCUGGAACUGCCUCGGAUACUGGCUAUCUCGAGUCCGGAAGAGGUGAGUGGAAUUCCUAGUGUAGAGGUGAAAUUCGUAGAUAUUAGGAAGAACACCGGUGGCGAAGGCGGCUCACUGGUCCGGUACUGACACUGAGGUGCGAAAGCGUGGGGAGCAAACAGGAUUAGAUACCCUAGUAGUCCCUGAGCGGGCUGGCAAGGCGCAU
This 447-nucleotide ribosomal RNA is filed under the name uncultured bacterium. RNAcentral's name for it is "bacterial SSU rRNA". It matches the Rfam family "Bacterial small subunit ribosomal RNA", at positions 355 to 825 of the family's 1533-position model. The record is from RNAcentral.